CAGAGAUGGAGUCAGGCAGGGAGUGCUAAGAGUCAGAGUGGAAAGGAGGACUCCUGCGCUGAGAACACAGAGGGUUCACCACCGGGGAUGCUGCCACCGUCUCAGGAGUAAUUUGUAUCAAUUCGAUAAAUGUUUAUCUGGAAACACCCAAGAGUCAGGGGAAGAGGAUCAUUCAGUGACAGCAAGGUCAGAAUGAGAAUAGAAAUUUGAGGGACAUGAGUGAAGAGGUGUUUACCGCCAGGAUGCUGGGGGAAGAUCUGAGAUCCAGGGAAUAACUUUGAGUGAUUGAGAUGGGAGAGAAGAGGGACUCCUGUAGGUCCACAUGAGGU
This 329-nucleotide long non-coding RNA is filed under the name Homo sapiens (human). RNAcentral's name for it is "HSALNT0157693". The record is from RNAcentral. Lineage: Eukaryota; Metazoa; Chordata; Mammalia; Primates; Hominidae.